UUAAAGGGCUGCAGUAUAUUGACUGUACAAAGGUAGCAUAAUCAUUAGUCAUUUAAUUGAUGACUUGUAUGAAGGAUUGGAUGAAAUAUAAACUGUCUCUUAAUUAUAUUUAGAAUUUAAUUUUUUAAUUAAAAAGUUAAAAUAAAUUAGAAAGACGAGAAGACCCUAUAGAGUUUUAUAAAUAAAAUUAAUUGAGAUUAUUUAUAAAAUUAAAAUUAAGAUUAAUUUAUUUAUUUUGUUGGGGUGACAGAAAAAUAUAAAAAACUUUUUAUAUAUAUUUAAAACGUUGAUAAGUGGUUAAAUGAUCCAAUAUUAUUGAUUAUAAGAAAAAAUUACCUUAGGGAUAACAGCGUAAUUUUUUUUUUUAGUUCAUAUAAAAAAAAAAGUUUGCGACCUCGAUGUUGGAUUAAGAUAAAAUUUAAAUGUAGAAG
RNAcentral lists this ribosomal RNA (431 nucleotides) under Sesamia capensis. RNAcentral describes it as "partial 16S ribosomal RNA". Lineage: Eukaryota; Metazoa; Arthropoda; Insecta; Lepidoptera; Noctuidae. The record is from RNAcentral.